RNAcentral lists this ribosomal RNA (706 nucleotides) under uncultured prokaryote. Its description in RNAcentral is "bacterial SSU rRNA". It matches the Rfam family "Bacterial small subunit ribosomal RNA", at positions 28 to 752 of the family's 1533-position model. The record is from RNAcentral.
GAUGAACGCUGACAGAAUGCUUAACACAUGCAAGUCGAUUCAAUUUACCUUCGGGUAUUGAGGAUGGCGGACGGGUGAGUAACGCGUAAGGAACUUGCCUCUUGGUCUGGGACAACUGUUGGAAACGACAGCUAAUACCGGAUAUUAUGAGAUUCUCGCAUGGGAAACUUAUGAAAGCUAUAUGCGCCAAGAGAGAGCCUUGCGUUCCAUUAGCUAGUUGGUGGGGUAACGGCCCACCAAGGCGACGAUGGAUAGCCGGCCUGAGAGGGUGAACGGCCACAAGGGGACUGAGACACGGCCCUUACUCCUACGGGAGGCAGCAGUGGGGAAUAUUGGACAAUGGGCCACAAGCCUGAUCCAGCAAUUCUGUGUGCACGAUGAAGGUCUUCGGAUUGUAAAGUGCUUUCAGUUGGGAAGAAGAAAGUGACGGUACCAACAGAAGAAGCGACGGCUAAAUACGUGCCAGCAGCCGCGGUAAUACGUAUGUCGCAAGCGUUAUCCGGAUUUAUUGGGCGUAAAGCGCGUCUAGGCGGAAAAAUAAGUCUGAUGUUAAAAUGCGGGGCUCAACUCCGUAUUGCGUUGGAAACUGUUUUUCUAGAGUACUGGAGANGUGGGCGGAACUACAAGUGUAGAGGUGAAAUUCGUAGAUAUUUGUAGGAAUGCCGAUGGAGAAGUCAGCUCACUGGACAGAUACUGACGCUAAANC